RNAcentral lists this unclassified non-coding RNA (265 nucleotides) under uncultured fungus. RNAcentral's name for it is "partial contains 5.8S ribosomal RNA, internal transcribed spacer 2, and large subunit ribosomal RNA". The stretch from base 1 to 52 matches the Rfam family "5.8S ribosomal RNA", at positions 103 to 154 of the family's 154-position model. Lineage: Eukaryota; Fungi. The record is from RNAcentral.
AACGCACAUUGCGCCCUCUGGUAUUCCGGGGGGCAUGCCUGUUCGAGCGUCAUUUUCACCCUCAAGCUCAGCUUGGUAUUAGGUGCUCAUCUUCUGCCCCCGGGUGGAGGGUGUACCUGAAAUUUAGCGGCGGUGCAGCCGAACUCCCUAGCGCAGUGACUUAUUACAACGCUACAAGGAGCUCUUUCGGUGUGUUCUAGCCGGACAACAACCAAAUUUUUUAAUGAUUGACCUCGGAUCAGGUAGGGAUACCCGCUGAACUUAA